AUGGAUAUCAAAAUAGUAAUGUGUAGUGUACUCUACUGGUACAUGGGCUCCGCCAACGCUGCUGUCUUAACCAUCUCCAAUGUCCAAGAAGGGGAUGAGGCCGAUUAUUACUGUUUAUCUUAUGACAGCAGUUGCAAUGCCCAAUUUACAAUGACCCAGCCAUCCUCUGUGUCGGCUUCCAUCGGAGAGACUGUUAAAGUUUUCUGUAGAGGAAACAGCGGGAGCGUAAGCGACUACUGGAACUCCUGGUACCAACAGACACCCGGCACUGCUCCAAUACUGCUUAUAUAUAGCGAUGACAACAGAGCCUCAGGCAUCUCUGACCGAUUCUCGGGUUCCCUGGACAGCUCCGCCAAUGCUGCUGUCUUAACCAUCUCCAAUGUCCAAGAAGGGGAUGAGGCCGAUUAUUACUGUUUAUCUUAUGACAGCAGUAACAAGCACACAAUGAUACAACCACAUGGGGAAGUUGUGAUGCCCAAAUUACAAUGA
Molecule: non-coding RNA, 489 nt
Organism: Gekko japonicus
Lineage: Eukaryota; Metazoa; Chordata; Lepidosauria; Squamata; Gekkonidae
Source: the annotation of a RefSeq genome assembly